UGGGGUGGAGGCUUCGAAUGUCUGAUUGCUUGGAGAUGGAGGUUAUGAUCAGGGAGUAUCUUGAGGGUUAGUAGUCAAGGGCUCUCUCGAUGAUGGCCAGGAUUACUCUGGUGAGAUUGGUUCUCCAUGCUAUUCUGAUCUAUUUGCUGUCUCACAUUAUUUUACUGAGAUCUUUUCUCUUGAAGCUCGAGCAGCUCUUCAGAAACUUUUUGUAGGGCUCACAUGGUGGAGAUAGUGUUGGAAUUUGAGGUUUGGUGCAUACAUGUGUGUUUCAAAAUUUUUAUUUUCUAAACAGCGCAGUGAAGA
RNAcentral lists this long non-coding RNA (306 nucleotides) under Elaeis guineensis (African oil palm). RNAcentral's name for it is "long non-coding RNA (EGUI_LNC028508)". The record is from RNAcentral. Lineage: Eukaryota; Viridiplantae; Streptophyta; Magnoliopsida; Arecales; Arecaceae.